This 402-nucleotide ribosomal RNA is filed under the name uncultured bacterium. RNAcentral describes it as "bacterial SSU rRNA". It matches the Rfam family "Bacterial small subunit ribosomal RNA", at positions 355 to 774 of the family's 1533-position model. The record is from RNAcentral. RNAcentral also lists the same sequence under 2 other names.
UGGGGAAUAUUGGACAAUGGGCGAAAGCCUGAUCCAGCAAUGCCGCGUGAGUGAUGAAGGCCUUAGGGUUGUAAAGCUCUUUUACCAGGGAUGAUAAUGACAGUACCUGGAGAAUAAGCUCCGGCUAACUCCGUGCCAGCAGCCGCGGUAAUACGGAGGGAGCUAGCGUUGUUCGGAAUUACUGGGCGUAAAGCGCGCGUAGGCGGUUUUUUAAGUCAGAGGUGAAAGCCCAGUGCUCAACACUGGAACUGCCUUUGAAACUGGAAAACUUGAAUCUUGGAGAGGUCAGUGGAAUUCCGAGUGUAGAGGUGAAAUUCGUAGAUAUUCGGAAGAACACCAGUGGCGAAGGCGACUGACUGGACAAGUAUUGACGCUGAGGUGCGAAAGCGUGGGGAGCAAACA